This 93-nucleotide microRNA precursor is filed under the name Saimiri boliviensis boliviensis (Bolivian squirrel monkey). RNAcentral's name for it is "miRNA (ENSSBOG00000006152.1)". The record is from RNAcentral. Lineage: Eukaryota; Metazoa; Chordata; Mammalia; Primates; Cebidae.
UGAGGCAGGAGAAUUGCUUGAACCCAGGAGGUGAAGGUUGCAGUGAGCCGAGAUCGUGCCACUGCACUCCAGGCUGGGUGACAGAGCGAGACU